This 445-nucleotide ribosomal RNA is filed under the name uncultured bacterium. Its description in RNAcentral is "partial 16S ribosomal RNA". It matches the Rfam family "Bacterial small subunit ribosomal RNA", at positions 354 to 796 of the family's 1533-position model. The record is from RNAcentral.
GUGAGGAAUAUUGCGCAAUGGAGGCAACUCUGACGCAGCCAUGCCGCGUGCAGGAAGAAGGCGCUACGCGUUGUAAACUGCUUUUAACCGGGAAGAAACCCCAGGACGUGUCCUGGGUUGACGGUACCGGAGGAAUAAGCACCGGCUAACUUCGUGCCAGCAGCCGCGGUAAUACGAAGGGUGCAAGCGUUAUCCGGAUUCAUUGGGUUUAAAGGGUGCGUAGGCGGAGCGUUAAGUCAGUGGUGAAAUCCUGCAGCUUAACUGUAGACUUGCCAUUGAUACUGGCGCUCUUGAGUGCGCUUGAAGUGGGCGGAAUGUGCCAUGUAGCGGUGAAAUGCUUAGAUAUGGCACAGAACACCAAUUGCGAAGGCAGCUCACUAAGGCGAUACUGACGCUGAGGCACGAAAGCGUGGGGAUCGAACAGGAUUAGAAACCCGUGUAGUCC